CGUAAACGAUGAGUGCUAAGUGUUAGGGGUUUCCCCCUUAGUGCUGCAGCUAACGCAUUAAGCACUCCGCUGGGGAGUACGACCGCAAGGUUGAAACUCAAAGGAAUUGACGGGGGCCCGCACAAGCGGUGGAGCAUGUGGUUUAAUUCGAAGCAACGCGAAGAACCUUACCAGGUCUUGACAUCCUUUGACAACUCUAGAGAUAGAGCUUUCCCUUCGGGGACAAAGUGACAGGUGGUGCAUGGUUGUCGUCAGCUCGUGUCGUGAGAUGUUGGGUUAAGUCCCGCAACGAGCGCAACCCUUAUUGUUAGUUGCCAUCAUUCAGUUGGGCACUCUAGCGAAACUGCCGGUGACAAACCGGAGGAAGGUGGGGAUGACGUCAAAUCAUCAUGCCCCUUAUGACCUGGGCUACACACGUGCUACAAUGGACAGUACAAUGAGCAGCGACACGGCGACGUGAAGCGAAUCUCAUAAAGCUGUUCUCAGUUCGGAUUGUAGGCUGCAACUCGCCUACAUGAAGCCGGAAUCGCUAGUAAUCGCGGAUCAGCACGCCGCGGUGAAUACGUUCCCGGGCCUUGUACACACCGCCCGUCACACCACGAAAGUUUGUAACACCCAAAGUCGGUGAGGUAACCUUCGGGAGCCAGCCGCCUAAGGUGGGAUAGAUGAUUGGGGUGAAGUCGUAACAAGGUAACCA
Molecule: ribosomal RNA, 697 nt
Filed under: uncultured Vagococcus sp.
Lineage: Bacteria; Bacillati; Bacillota; Bacilli; Lactobacillales; Enterococcaceae
Description: bacterial SSU rRNA
Rfam family: Bacterial small subunit ribosomal RNA
Source: RNAcentral